Non-coding RNA from Pelobates cultripes (western spadefoot toad), 256 nucleotides. Lineage: Eukaryota; Metazoa; Chordata; Amphibia; Anura; Pelobatidae. The record is from the annotation of a GenBank genome assembly.
GUUUUUCUGUGUUAUUUGGCAAGAUUAAGUGAUCUGAAAAAAUAAAUUCUCCCUUACAGUUUCUGUGUGUGAAGCCAAUACCUGCUUGGAAGAUUAUUCACUAAACAGUUUGUUUGAAUAGACACCCAAAAUACAAAACAUGGGCUAGCCGCCAAAUCUCCUAGUAUAGAGUCCAAACUUGUACAUCUGUAGUUGUUUGGCAGGGAGUUUUGGAAAGUAUCAUGCAACAGCAGAGGGAGGGUGAAGGACAGACACC